GACGAAGGGGGCUAGCGUUGUUCGGAAUUACUGGGCAUAAAGAGCGCGUAGGCGGUUUGAUAAGUUGGGAGUGAAAGCCCGGGGCUUAACCUCGGAAUUGCUUUCAAAACUGUCAAGCUAGAGUGUAGUAGGGGAUGAUGGAAUUCCUAGUGUAGAGGUGAAAUUCUUAGAUAUUAGGAGGAACACCGGUGGCGAAGGCGGUCAUCUGGGCUACAACUGACGCUGAGGCGCGAAAGCGUGGGGAGCAAACAGG
This 253-nucleotide ribosomal RNA is filed under the name uncultured bacterium. RNAcentral describes it as "partial 16S ribosomal RNA". It matches the Rfam family "Bacterial small subunit ribosomal RNA", at positions 524 to 776 of the family's 1533-position model. The record is from RNAcentral.